AGAGUUUGAUCCUGGCUCAGGAUAAACGCUGGCGGCGUGCAUAAAACAUGCAAGUCGGACGGAUGGCUUCGGCCAUCAGUGGCGGACGGCUGAGUAACACGUAAGUGACCUACCCUCGAGUGGGGAAUAACUGCUCGAAAGAGUGGCUAAUACCGCAUAAGCUCGCCUUUUCGUUGGGGUGAGUAAAGCAGUAAUGCGCUUGAGGAUGGGCUUGCGGCCGAUUAGCUAGUUGGUGAGGUAAAGGCCCACCAAGGCGAUGAUCGGUAGCUGGUCUGAGAGGAUGAUCAGCCAGACUGGGACUGCGACACGGCCCAGACUCCUACGGGAGGCAGCAGUUAGGAAUUUUGCGCAAUGGACGAAAGUCUGACGCAGCAACGCCGCGUGGAGGACGAAGGCCCUCGGGUCGUAAACUCCUUUUCCAGGGGAAGAUAGUGACGGUACCCUGGGAAUAAGCCCCGGCUAACUACGUGCCAGCAGCCGCGGUAAUACGUAGGGGGCGAGCGUUGUCCGGAUUUACUGGGCGUAAAGAGCGCGUAGGCGGCUUGUCAAGUCGUGCGUGAAAUACCUCGGCUCAACCGGGGGAUGUCGGGCGAUACUGGCAGGCUUGAGGCUGGUAGGGGGAAGUGGAAUUCCCGGUGUAGUGGUGGAAUGCGUAGAUAUCGGGAGGAACACCAGUGGCGAAGGCGGCUUCCUGGACCAGUCCUGACGCUGAGGCGCGAAAGCGUGGGGAGCGAACUGAAUUAGAUACUCAGGUAGUCCACGCUGUAAACUAUGGGUGCUAGGUGUCGGGGGUAUCGACCCCUCCGGUGCCGCAGCUAACGCAUUAAGCACCCCGCCUGGGGAGUACGGCCGCAAGGCUAAAACUCAAAGGAAUUGACCGG
RNAcentral lists this ribosomal RNA (881 nucleotides) under uncultured Chloroflexota bacterium. RNAcentral describes it as "bacterial SSU rRNA". It matches the Rfam family "Bacterial small subunit ribosomal RNA", at positions 8 to 917 of the family's 1533-position model. Lineage: Bacteria; Bacillati; Chloroflexota. The record is from RNAcentral.